CCUACGGGAGGCAGCAGUGGGGAAUAUUGGACAAUGGGCGAAAGCCUGAUCCAGCCAUGCCGCGUGUGUGAAGAAGGCCUUCGGGUUGUAAAGCACUUUUAGUGGGGAAGAAAGCCUUGGGGCUAAUACCCUCGAGGAAGGACAUCACCCACAGAAGAAGCACCGGCUAACUCCGUGCCAGCAGCCGCGGUAAUACGGAGGGUGCGAGCGUUAAUCGGAAUUACUGGGCGUAAAGCGCGCGUAGGCGGUCUGAUAAGCCGGUUGUGAAAGCCCCGGGCUCAACCUGGGAACGGCAUCCGGAACUGUCAGGCUUGAGUGCAGGAGAGGAAGGUAGAAUUCCCGGUGUAGCGGUGAAAUGCGUAGAGAUCGGGAGGAAUACCAGUGGCGAAGGCGGCCUUCUGGACUGACACUGACGCUGAGGUGCGAAAGCGUGGGUAGCAAACAGGAUUAGAUACCCUGGUAGUC
RNAcentral lists this ribosomal RNA (465 nucleotides) under Vreelandella stevensii. RNAcentral describes it as "partial 16S ribosomal RNA". It matches the Rfam family "Bacterial small subunit ribosomal RNA", at positions 338 to 795 of the family's 1533-position model. Lineage: Bacteria; Pseudomonadati; Pseudomonadota; Gammaproteobacteria; Oceanospirillales; Halomonadaceae. The record is from RNAcentral.